AUUGAACGCUGGCGGCAUGCUUUACACAUGCAAGUCGAACGGUAACAGGCCGCAAGGUGCUGACGAGUGGCGAACGGGUGAGUAAUGCAUCGGAACGUGCCCAGUCGUGGGGGAUAACGCAGCGAAAGCUGUGCUAAUACCGCAUACGAUCUAUGGACGAAAGCGGGGGACCGUAAGGCCUCGCGCGAUUGGAGCGGCCGAUGUCAGAUUAGGUAGUUGGUGGGGUAAAGGCCUACCAAGCCGACGAUCUGUAGCUGGUCUGAGAGGACGACCAGCCACACUGGGACUGAGACACGGCCCAGACUCCUACGGGAGGCAGCAGUGGGGAAUUUUGGACAAUGGGCGCAAGCCUGAUCCAGCAAUGCCGCGUGCAGGAAGAAGGCCUUCGGGUUGUAAACUGCUUUUGUACGGAACGAAACGGUCUGGGUUAAUACCCCGGGCUAAUGACGGUACCGUAAGAAUAAGCACCGGCUAACUACGUGCCAGCCGCCGCGGUAA
Molecule: ribosomal RNA, 498 nt
Filed under: uncultured bacterium
Lineage: Bacteria
Description: partial 16S ribosomal RNA
Rfam family: Bacterial small subunit ribosomal RNA
Source: RNAcentral